RNAcentral lists this ribosomal RNA (299 nucleotides) under Clostridioides difficile. Its description in RNAcentral is "partial 23S ribosomal RNA". It matches the Rfam family "Bacterial large subunit ribosomal RNA", at positions 895 to 1194 of the family's 2925-position model. The record is from RNAcentral. Lineage: Bacteria; Bacillati; Bacillota; Clostridia; Peptostreptococcales; Peptostreptococcaceae.
UACGGAGGUAGAGCACUGAAUGUCCUAGGGGGUAUUGCACCUACCGAAGACUAUCAAACUCCGAAUGCCGUCAUCUUAUACUUGGGAGUCAGACUGUGGGUGAUAAGAUUCAUAGUCGAAAGGGCAACAGCCCAGAUCGGCAGCUAAGGUCCCUAAAUGUAAGUUAAGUGGUAAAGGAUGUGGGAUUGCACAGACAACCAGGAUGUUGGCUUAGAAGCAGCCACUCAUUCAAAGAGUGCGUAAUAGCUCACUGGUCGAGUGAUCCUGCGCCGAAGAUUUCCGGGGCUAAAACUUACUAC